Molecule: long non-coding RNA, 2206 nt
Filed under: Nicotiana benthamiana
Lineage: Eukaryota; Viridiplantae; Streptophyta; Magnoliopsida; Solanales; Solanaceae
Description: long non-coding RNA (NBEN_LNC038959)
Source: RNAcentral
AAUAAAAAUAUAUAUUGAAAAUAUUAAACCAAGGCACAACUUUCUGUACACAAGAGAAUUGAAGGACUCAGAGUGAUUGCCUGUUUUCAAUUACCCUUUCACAUUUGAUAAUCAAGCUUAACAGAAAUGAAAUUAAAUUGGCUAAGACAUGACGGAUGAUUCCAAUUUAGAUUACUAAAGUUCACUAACAUACACUCUAAGCUAGCUGCAACCAAUUCAUGUGUUACAUUCACCAAACUAACCAAUUAACAAUCGCUAAAUAUAGUUCACAUUAACCUAAUACUAGCAGUCCACAUUAUUAAAGCUUAGUCCAUACCCAAAUCCCCACCAAUUCAAUGAACUAACAAUAAUCAAUUAAUAAAAAACAACUCAAACUAUUGAAAGACGAUCAUCAGACACCAUCCAAAAUGCAGAAUUCCAGUAGCUAUUUCAUUUCAACCUCAAAUUAGAGUUACAUGGAAUCGAACCAAAGAAUGUGUAUCUGGAAAUGUGGAGUAUAAAAUGAAAGAGAAGUAAGAAGCAGCAGUAGAAAACAAAAACACAACACAUAAAAGUAUUAGAAACCCAAAUAGAUCACAUAGAUCUACUUAAAUCAACACCAACAUGCCCGAGAAUAACCAGGAAAGUAGGACAACCAAUAGGCUAAAUCAAAUCAGCUUCAAGUAACCCAAAUAUCUUUGAGAAUGAACCAACACAUGCUCAGCAUCUUCAACACACCACAACAUAAUCAAAAUAUAGCUCAAUCGGACCUAGGGCUUUCCGAAAUCAGUGUAUAUCUCUGAAACCUGAACUUAGGAAAACUAGAAUUCCAAUGGAAUAGUAACUACUUUUUUUUUGUUUUUCUAUUAGAUUUUUCUAUUGUUUUUGAUUUUUGGAGUUUGAAUUUAAGUUUUUGGGUCUGAAAAAGUGAAGAGAGUGUUUGUGAGGGGUGAUUCUUAUGGUUGAAAAGAUGACCCCUCAACAAAGCAAAAUGCCUUCCUUUUAUAGGCACCCAGAAUGAGUUAUCAGACACCAAAAUUCCUUUUAAGCUAAUAAUUCCACUUUCAGUCCCUAAGCUUUUAACUUGAGACACAAGCAACUACCACUAUCAAACUACCACUUCUCCUAGAAGCCUCUAGUAAUUCCCUAGCACAGUCUCCAAAUGAAAUUCUCAAAUUGACUUUUUAUUAACUAAUUAUGCUAAGGAUUGACAACUAAACUAGACAUGGAUAUACUUAACUAUAUCAAAAAGUUAUCUAACUAAAACAAACAUUAAUCACACAGAACAUUACUCAAUUAUUAACCAAUUCGGUCAACAUCAGAAGUAAACCAUUACCACCUAUAGGUAUAACAGAAUUAAGAACAGAAAUCAAGCUAAACAGAAAAAUAUUUAAAACACAACUGCCAAAUUAAACUAAUCAGAGCGAACAACUAGCAGGCGAUAAUUAAACUAAAAAAACCAAAGCCAAUCAAACCCUCAGCAUUAACUAAUCAUGCAAACUUAUUAUUAUCGAAAUCAUUCUGACACUUUACUUGAAUCUACAUGCUAGCGAAAAAAUAGUGAUGGAGUAGUGAUUGAAACAGAAAGGGAAAUGAAGGGAACAAACUUACUAAACAAAGUCCGGCUAGUCUUCAAAGACAAAUUUAAACAAGUCUAAUGUGAAUUGAAUGCAAUUGGUCUUGAAUUCAUCAUGGGGAAGGUCCCAAGAACGUAUGGUACAAUUUUGGGGCUAAUAUAGGCGACUAGGGUUUUGAUUAGUGAAACUUCAAUCGAAUAUUUGAUCAAUUUUGGUGGGAUUCGAGGCAUGGGACUAGCGGUAUUUAAUAGAGGAGGUUGUGGUAGUUAUACAAUGUUAAUUUGGUGCCAUUUAGGAUUUGUAGUGUCAUGGCUGGAAAAAAUUUCGACGAAGACUCGAAGGGCUGGGCUGGGUUAUGAAUGGAGUUGUUUACAGAUUUUAGAUAAGGGAGAGAAGAGGAUCACGAGGUGUUAAUUUGGGAGAAUUUGGAGUGAUUAGCGUUCUGUGCCGGCUGCUCGGCCGGUGGAGUUUCAGAGAUGAGUACGAGGAAGAUAACAUGGUCAUUACGGUUAUACACACUCACUUAGACACUUAUAUUGAAAUAACAAGAACCAACAUGGGCCGCUGGAUUGGAGGGAGUCAAUGGCUGUGAUUAACUGACGCCUAACAACGUCAUUUCAUCUAGGGGUGAACCGGGUUAUGGAUUGGGC